AGUGAACGCUGGCGGUAGGCCUAACACAUGCAAGUCGAACGGCAGCACAGUAAGAGCUUGCUCUUACGGGUGGCGAGUGGCGGACGGGUGAGGAAUACAUCGGAAUCUACUUUUUCGUGGGGGAUAACGUAGGGAAACUUACGCUAAUACCGCAUACGACCUACGGGUGAAAGCAGGGGAUCUUCGGACCUUGCGCGAUUGAAUGAGCCGAUGUCGGAUUAGCUAGUUGGCGGGGUAAAGGCCCACCAAGGCGACGAUCCGUAGCUGGUCUGAGAGGAUGAUCAGCCACACUGGAACUGAGACACGGUCCAGACUCCUACGGGAGGCAGCAGUGGGGAAUAUUGGACAAUGGGCGCAAGCCUGAUCCAGCCAUACCGCGUGGGUGAAGAAGGCCUUCGGGUUGUAAAGCCCUUUUGUUGGGGAAGAAAAGCAGCAGGUUAAUACCCCGCUGUUCUGGCGGUACCCAAAGAAUAAGCACCGGCUAACUUCGUG
Molecule: ribosomal RNA, 492 nt
Filed under: uncultured bacterium
Lineage: Bacteria
Description: partial 16S ribosomal RNA
Rfam family: Bacterial small subunit ribosomal RNA
Source: RNAcentral